UUAAAACUACGCGAUAGAACUGUGCACUUGCAGUUUGUACCCCAAUUUCGACUCAUAAAGUCGCGAUCAAGUUUUUGGCGCCGUUGUCGGGGACUUUUAUUUAGUCGAUAUCGUAAUUCUUCUGUUACGCUGUAGAGACUAAGGCUUUUCUUUUCUCUUUUCUUUCUUUCGUUGAUUUGUAUGCCACACACUCGCUCACAAGGCGAGCCGUUCUACUUACGAAUCAAUGAUAUCGAACUAUAUCUCCGAGUCUUACGACGAAU
RNAcentral lists this long non-coding RNA (263 nucleotides) under Lathyrus oleraceus (garden pea). RNAcentral describes it as "Pisum sativum (pea) long non-coding RNA (PSAT_LNC028730)". Lineage: Eukaryota; Viridiplantae; Streptophyta; Magnoliopsida; Fabales; Fabaceae. The record is from RNAcentral.